This is a long non-coding RNA of Lemur catta (Ring-tailed lemur), 758 nucleotides long. RefSeq lists it as uncharacterized. The record is from RefSeq and is a predicted model, not a curated record. The transcript has 4 exons. NCBI's taxonomy places the organism in Eukaryota, Metazoa, Chordata, Mammalia, Primates, Lemuridae.
CUUUCAUUUUUCUGGAGCACGUGUAAAAAAGGAGUAAAGUGCAGGACUUGGGUAAGGGAGAAACCAAGAAGAAUGCAAAAGAUUGACCAUCACUGUGAGCUUCAUAUAGUGAGCUCAGGAGUGAAAAGCAGCCCCUAGAAGUGGUGACCCCGACGUGAUUCAGGAAUCCGCGUGUCCAGUGACCAUUUUCGUUGUCCGGACUACAAGGAGAAUCAUCCCGCUGCUGCCGAUGGGGGUCCUGCUGUGACAGACACAUAACACCACGAUGGUGUCCAGGAUCAUGUGGGGUCAACUGAAACAACUGAAACAACUAGAGACACAGGCCACAGACAAGGAGGACAGAUCUGCCAAUUGAUGACCUCCCAGCGCCAUUAUGAAAAAACACUGGCUGAAGCUUACAUCUCUUUCUCCUACUCACUCUGUCUCUAAUUUUAAAUGAAAAAGGAGACAUGUGGGGGCUGGGCCUAGAAGAAAGAAUGGAUGGAUGGAAAGAAUGUGAGCAGGAUGAAUGAAGGGUCAGGUGAAAACGCCUCCCCAAAGCUGCUUCUUUGCUGUGUGCAAAGGUCAGCUGAAAACAGCUGACCUGUACAGAAUUUGUUAAAGAAAUUAGCAAAUGGCCCUGACCCUUUGCAUGUGUCUUUGGAAAUAAAUAUGGGGAGGAACUUAGCUGAGGAGGCCAUUUUUUCCUUCAGACUUUGGCCUCUCCCCUUCUCUCUAAAUACUAUGUGUUUUCAGUAAUUAUUCAUUCCUUUGCUACC